RNAcentral lists this ribosomal RNA (274 nucleotides) under uncultured bacterium. Its description in RNAcentral is "partial 16S ribosomal RNA". It matches the Rfam family "Bacterial small subunit ribosomal RNA", at positions 523 to 796 of the family's 1533-position model. The record is from RNAcentral.
AUGCGGAGGGUGCAAGCGUUAUUCGGAAUCACUGGGCGUAAAGGACGCGUAGGCGGGUUGGCAAGUCAGAUGUGAAAUCCUACAGCUUAACUGUAGAACUGCAUUUGAAACUGCUAACCUAGAGUAUGGGAGGGGGAGAUGGAAUUAGUGGUGUAGGGGUAAAAUCCGUAGAUAUCACUAGGAAUACCGAAAGCGAAGGCGAUCUCCUGGAACAUAACUGACGCUAAGGCGUGAAAGCGUGGGGAGCAAACAGGAUUAGAUACCCUAGUAGUCC